Delphinapterus leucas (beluga whale) is the source of this 2067-nucleotide long non-coding RNA. RefSeq lists it as uncharacterized. The record is from RefSeq and is a predicted model, not a curated record. NCBI's taxonomy places the organism in Eukaryota, Metazoa, Chordata, Mammalia, Artiodactyla, Monodontidae.
GGCGGCGCCCUGGAGACCCGAAACCGGGGUGGGGGCGGGGAGGAGGAGGGGCCCGGCCCGCUUAGUCACGCUUCCAGACGAGAGGGUCCGGAGCGCCCCGCCUUCCGGGCCCGGGGUCCUGAACCGCGGACAGGCUGCGUGGGGCCGGGGCUCUGAGACGCGACUCGACGCGCCGCGCCUCCCUCUCCCCGGGCGAGGCCUUGGGUGCCCGCCGACCGUGGGCUGCUUCUUCCAUCCCGGGACCCACGCCAGUCCCCUGGGCUCUGCCGGCCCCACCUUCUCUCUGUAAGAGCGGGGAGUGGUCUGGAUCACGUCGCUGUCCCCUCCCCCAGGCUGGGCUGUCAUCACCGUUGGCGACCCGCCUUCGGGGCCUUUAUAGCCGGAGGCCUUAGCCCUGCAAGGUCCACCGCCACAGAGCGCAUUGAGUGUCAGGGCUUGGGGGCGGAACCCACCAGGGCAUCUACCAUUUUGCUUGUGAAAUUAUCUGGGUAUGCGUAGCUCUUUGCUUGGCAAUGUGAGUGUUUAGUUUUUUAAUUCAUUGUUACACUCAGGAAUUCUUACAAAGUGUGGGGGGUAUUUUCCUCGUGUGAUGAAAUGACUUUGGAAGUUACACUUAACAGCGGAUGGAGCACAGCGGAUGGAGCUGACAUCGUGAGGUGCUACAUGCACGUUUAACGAAGCCUUUGGAUUUUCCUGUUUCCUUCUUUUGGAGCCACUAACAUGUUUUGUUUUGUUGACUGAAGAGCCUGCAGCCUGGUGCCUGUGGGGCUGGAGGGCAGCUGGGCCCCUGUAAGGCCCGCGGUGGAGGUGGGUUAGGACGCGGCCCCAAACGGGUAUAUCCACUGUGUGCCCGGUCGUGCAGUUUUCUCUUCCAAGGACGCAAGGCGCAGAAGCCGCUGGGGAAGACAGUCCAGAGUCUGCUGGGUUGACACGGGGUGAAAACGUAAUUGAAAAUCUUGAGCAAAAGUGGGAUUGUUUUUGCUUUGAGGGAAGCAGCGUCGGACGCUGUGGGAAGCCUGGCGCCCCAGGCCCACCUCGAGUAUGGGGGAGAGAGAGGUCUGUGUGGUCUUGUGGUAUGCUUUUCAUGCGUUCAGAAUAUGAUUUUCAUUAAAAUGGCAAGAUCAGUACUGUCAGAUUAGGAACGACUGUCUGCUAGUCUUUCAGAAGUUGCUGGAAGUUACGCUCUCUGUGUGUUAAACGUUAUGUCUAGACUCGCAGCUCGUUCGCUUGAUGUUCCGCUCAGCUCUGCCCACGCUGGCUGUCCAUCUCCCGGAACUGCAUUUCCAGGUUACACACAAGAUGCAGCCUGAACUCCUGGUCAGUCACACGUUUCCAAAGAUGGAAGGAAAGCAGCUGCUUGUAGGGAGGAGGAGGCCUUAAAGACUGGGUGUGUAGGAGCCAGGUUCCUGCUAAAAGUCAGCCAACGAAAGCCACCCCCCAUAAAUGCCUGACCGCAGCCUCUGAAGGGAGCCGAGGGAUCUCCCCCAUCCUGGCUCUCCCCCGAAGCUGUAGCCUGGCUUUGCUCCAUUGUCCAUCCAAGGGCAGGAACGGAUGGACAGCCUGUGAAAAGGCAUUUGAAAACAUCUGGUGUCUGCAGCAUCUGGAUGGAGGAGCUGUGCCCUGCUCUGAACGGCCGCUCAGCCCGGGGCAGCCGCUGUCCCUGUCCUCCAGGAGCUCACUUACCUCCGGCCGUGCGCUCCUUGAGGCCAGAGCCCGUGUCUGCCUCAGCACCGGCACCGGCAGCAGCAGCGGCAGCUCUGCAGGGCACCGGGCCCGUCACCCACGGCCCACAGCGCUCGCAGCGUCCCUGCUUGCGUGGCCCAGCCGCUCGCUGGGUUGAUCAGAGCAGCGUCCUGCGUUGUGUGCAUGCUUUCUGAAGUUGUUUGGAAUUGGGUUGGUUUUUUUUGGCGGAGCUGCGAGACUUGUGGGAUCUCAGUCCCCUGACCGGGGAUUGAACCCAGGCCGCAGCAAUGAAAGCCCGGAAUCCUAACCGCUAGGCCACCAGGGAACUCCCUGGAAUUGGUCUAGUUUUAAUCAGAGUACUGCAAAUAAAAUGAAGAGGGUACA